UACAGAGGAGCCAAGCGUUGUCCGGAUUGACUGGGCGUAAAGCGCACGUAGGCGGAUAUUUAAGUCAGGGGUGAAAUCCCAGAGCUCAACUCUGGAACUGCCUUUGAUACUGGGUAUCUUGAGUAUGGAAGAGGUGAGUGGAAUUCCGAGUGUAGAGGUGAAAUUCGUAGAUAUUCGGAGGAACACCAGUGGCGAAGGCGGCUCACUGGUCCAUUACUGACGCUGAGGUGCGAAAGCGUGGGGAGCAAACAGG
Molecule: ribosomal RNA, 253 nt
Filed under: uncultured bacterium
Lineage: Bacteria
Description: partial 16S ribosomal RNA
Rfam family: Bacterial small subunit ribosomal RNA
Source: RNAcentral